RNAcentral lists this long non-coding RNA (286 nucleotides) under Homo sapiens (human). Its description in RNAcentral is "non-protein coding lnc-ALDH3B1-2:2". Lineage: Eukaryota; Metazoa; Chordata; Mammalia; Primates; Hominidae. The record is from RNAcentral.
GUCAAAGCCUGGGGCUUUUCAGAGAAGGGAGGAUUAUGGGUUUUCUAAUUACAUAAGUCAGAAGUAGAAAAAGGGACACAAACUAAGAAGGGUGCUGAGCGCUCGUCACCUGGAGGGACUUGUGCCUCUCUCAGUGGUAGUAGAGGGGCUACUUCUUCCUGCCACGGUCAUGAUUGAGAGGCAACGGGUGGCGAGUCUACAGGGGACGUCGUCGAGCAGACAUGGGAUAACUUUAAGGGAGAAGGGUUUAAGGAGUGAGAACAGAGCCAAGUCCUGGAGACGGUGA